UCACCUCCUCUCCCGAGGGAGCCCUUAGGAUCCAGCAACAGAGAGGAAAAGUUUAUUUCAGCUCAUAGCUUUGGAGGUUUCAGCCCAUCAUUGGUUUGGGUCCUGAUAUUCACUUCAAGGAAGGGCACUCUCUCAAGGACACUCAGUCCUGGGGAUUGACUUCAGAUCAUCAGGGCUGCUGGCAAACACCUCUACCUGCUGAGUCACCUCACCAGCCCAACCCUUUAGAUCCUUAGACCUGUGUUUGAGGAUGACUUUCUUGGAAACAACUGCUUUGAAGGGCUCCUGGAUAUGAUAGGAAGAAAUCUGAGGACGCUUGAGUCAUUUGUGCCACACUCGGUUUUCAGAGGAACCGACUCCAUCUGCAGCAUCCUCCUGGAAGAGUAAAAAUGAUAAACCCUGAACAAUAUUUGGAGGGUUCCUUGAGUCGUUGAAGCCAACACACAGAUCCCAGGUUAAGUAAUCUUAACCUAGAGUUCCAGAACAUUUCCUCAACUGGGAGCCAGGGGAAGGGCUGCAGAGAAGAUCCAAGCUGAACUGCCAAGCAACGUUUUUCAUUCGCGUCCCUUAUUCGCCUUGGACAGCAGGUGGCGCGCCCGCCUGCCUCAACGGCCCGCUGGUCGCAUUCCAAGAACCUGUUGGUGCGCGAGGGGGCGUGGCGCAGUGCUGGUCCCUGUCUGCCCUAAGGAACUGCUUCCCAGUGUCGCAUGCAUGUAGGAAGGAUGCCCGGUGGUAGGCGGUGAGGGGCAGCCUGGGGGCCUUAUUCCUUCCUAGCGGUGAGCUGUAGACUUGGCGUAACCGACCUGCUAAGCGUGGUGGAGAGGCGCGCGCCGCUGGGUGCUCCGGGCGUUCGCAUGCGGUGUGCCAGCAGAGCUUCUGGCAAGAGCACAAAACACAGAAAGCCGACUGCAAAUACUUCCACAUGUAAAGGAGGACACUGGAACCUUUCUGUAUUUUUUUAAAAGGCACGAAAGCUGGAGAUGUAGCUCAGUGGUAGACUCUUGCCUAGCUUGUGUGAGUGAGGAGGAUUUAGGUUCAAAUCCCUUGUACCGCAAAAUUCAAAUCAAAUAAAACAAAAACGAAACGCAUCAAAAUAACUAAGGUUUGCUUUCUGCAAACCCCGAUUCUCUUUCAAGAGAAUCUCUUACAGGGCAUCUUUCACCUGCACACCAGCCUUCUUCCUCAUUGUGGGGAAGGGUGUAUAGGUAAACCAACCGGGAAGCUGGACUGGUCAGGCACGGGGCUAUCCCUGGUUCUAAAAGGCUGGAGGGUAGAAGUUAAAACCUGGAAAGCAACGAAGCUCAGCCCAGGGAGGGAAGCAGAGACUCUCCCAACAUAGUGCUGGGGAACUGGGUCUCAGAAGACAGUAGGCAUUGACAGGCGAUCCAAUUAGUUGACAUGUAUGUACUUCCUUACAAGGAUGAAGGUGUCUGAUAUACAGGCAAAACAGUGUUUUGUAAGAGACCCAGGGUUUCCAAAAAUCAAACAGCAGUUGUUUUCAUGGGAGGUGCAACCUAGCCCUGUUCCUAAGGCAAUGAAUGAUGCUUCAGAGCAAUGCUUUUCAGAAGGCAUGGUGGCAAACACCUGUGAUUCCAGCGCUGGGGAGGCUGAGGCAGAAGGAUUACCUGGAGUUCA
This is a non-coding RNA of Peromyscus maniculatus bairdii (prairie deer mouse), 1635 nucleotides long. Lineage: Eukaryota; Metazoa; Chordata; Mammalia; Rodentia; Cricetidae. The record is from RefSeq and is a predicted model, not a curated record.